This 489-nucleotide ribosomal RNA is filed under the name uncultured bacterium. RNAcentral's name for it is "partial 16S ribosomal RNA". It matches the Rfam family "Bacterial small subunit ribosomal RNA", at positions 28 to 507 of the family's 1533-position model. The record is from RNAcentral.
GACGAACGCUGGCGGCGUGCUUAACACAUGCAAGUCGAACGGAAAGGCCCCCACCUUGGUGGGGGUGCUCGAGUGGCGAACGGGUGAGUAACACGUGGGUGAUCUGCCCUGUACUUCGGGAUAAGCUUGGGAAACUGGGUCUAAUACCGGAUAGGACCAUGGUUUAGUGUCUCAUGGUGGAAAAAUUAUUGUUUUGGUGCAGGAUGAGCUCGCGGCCUAUCAGCUUGUUGGUGGGGUAAUGGCCUACCAAGGCGUCGACGGGUAGCCGGCCUGAGAGGGUGGACGGCCACAUUGGGACUGAGAUACGGCCCAGACUCCUACGGGAGGCAGCAGUGGGGAAUAUUGCACAAUGGGCGCAAGCCGGAUGCAGCGACGCCGCGUGGGGGAUGACGGCCGUCGGGUGGUAAACUCCUUUCGUUAGGGACGAAGCCACACCUUUUUGGGGUGUGGUGACGGUACCUUUGUUAAGAAGCACCGGCUAACUACGUG